Long non-coding RNA from Cygnus olor (mute swan), 1746 nucleotides. RefSeq lists it as uncharacterized. The record is from RefSeq and is a predicted model, not a curated record. Lineage: Eukaryota; Metazoa; Chordata; Aves; Anseriformes; Anatidae. The transcript is spliced from 3 exons.
GGGGAGGCUGCGGCGGGCGCGGCGCGGCGCGCAUGCGCGGCGGCGGUCAGCCUCCCGGCGCCAUUUUGUGUGCGGCUUCUUCCCAUUUUAGGCGGCCGCGGGGCGGGGGGGAGGUGGCGGUGCCGCGGGGCCGGGCCCUCACAUGGCGGCCGCGGGGCCCCCUCAGCGCCCCGGGGCCGCCUCGCGGAGUGGUUUCGGUGGCUCCUCAGCGGCCGUGGCGCAGCCGGGAGGCUCCGGAGAAGCCGGAGAAGCAGCGGUGGUGCCCCUGGUGGUGGUGCUCGGCGGGACCGCCCCGCCGGAGGGAGGCGGAACAGGCGGCCGCGGGGCUGUGAGGCGGCUGCAGCAGAAAAAUUCUGUCCACCUGGGUGUAUCUGUUGCAGCUGGCGUGCCUUGGAAGUUCUUGGCACAUCAUCCAUCUAACUACUAAGCUGAAGACUUGUGUAGCAGCUGCCGUUUCAGUGUGGCGGAGAGCUUUGGUUGCCAUCACCUGGAACCAAGUGAUCAGUCUGUCCUCCAAAACCUGAAGUAAGUGCUCGAGAUCAAGUGUGGAUUCCAUUACUGCUCUGGGUGGUAACAUUACUUCACGUGCUUGCUGAAGGAGAAUAUUCUCCUUACGUUUUCACAGGCUAACUGGUAUUUUAAAUGCCAGGAGUAAAGGUGAAAGAUUAGAUCUAGCUGUCAUUCAUGCAUCAUCAAACUUUGUUUCAGCCUUCCAUGUAACUUGUUUGCAACAGGCACAACUUGGUACUAGAAAUGUAUCCUGUGCGUAUAUCCACGUGGGCUGUGCCAGUGCAUCAACCAUUCUAGCACAGUAAACCUAACGAGCACAGAGUUAAAAUAAAAUUAACUGGUUUCCAAAGCAUUUCUACUAAAUGCAGCUUUUUUUCUUUUUGCCUGGCCUCCAAUGUGUAGGCUUUAUUGUUGGUCUAAACAGUUUACCUGUGCAAUUUUUGAUCUUUCAAAGUGAGAAGAGACGUUUUCUAUGGGAUUGGAAGAGUGGUUCUCUGUAAAAAUAGUCAGUCACUAGUUUACAGAGCAAAUAUGGUUUUAGUGUUCCUGAAAUAAACUCAAGUUGAAAACUUUUAAACUUGCAUGUGAAACUCUAGAUACUCCUAACUAAUUCUUCCUAACGGAGUCAAAUCUUGUUUAUAAAUAGUAGUGCUUGAGUAGUUUCCCAUCUAAAUCAAACAUAUGGGGUGAAACUUGAAUGCAAAAACUGCUUUGGGGAGUUGCAGUUACAUAAUUUAAACUUUAUCAUUUAAAUGAGGUUGCAUGCUGUGUUUGAAGAAUCCUACUGCAGUCUUCCAAGUAAGUUAAGAUUUCUGGUAGAAUAUACUCCUCCUCAAAUACUGAACUUUUGGAACCGUCUUGGAUAUGGAUUCACUUCUUCAGCUUUUGGUGAAACCAGAUUGGGAGUAAACAUACAUUGAGUGCGUGUCUGUUGUUCACAUUGUUCAUAUCUAAGAUGUUGACUGAUGCUGAAGUUGGAGAGCUAAAAUCAGUUUUUUCUUUUGGUAAAGAGAAGUAACUCCAGUUGGAUUAUUUUUCUCAAUACCUGUGUUAGAAUAUUCAGGAUAGUGUUGUUUUUUGCUCUUAAAGUAAUUUUCAGAGUGAUUUGUCACAGCCAAUCUGAAGUUAGAGUCCUCCUUGCUCAUGCUACCUGUUGCCAGUUUAUAUCUUGACUGUCCUUUUCCGUCUGCAGAAGGAGUAGUUUAAAAAGUAUAAGAGGAAAUAAAACUUAAAAGC